Molecule: ribosomal RNA, 484 nt
Filed under: uncultured bacterium
Lineage: Bacteria
Description: partial 16S ribosomal RNA
Rfam family: Bacterial small subunit ribosomal RNA
Source: RNAcentral
AUUGAACGCUGGCGGCAGGCCUAACACAUGCAAGUCGAGCGGAUGAAGGGAGCUUGCUCCUGGAUUCAGCGGCGGACGGGCGAGUAAUGCCUAGGAAUCUGCCUGGUAUUUGGGGAUAACGUCCGGAAACGGGCGCUAAUACCGCAUACGUCCUGAGGUUGAACGUGGGGGAUCUUCGGACCUCACGCUAUCAGAUGAGCCUAGGUCGGAUUAGCUAGUUGGUGGGGUAAAGGCCUACCAAGGCGACGAUCCGUAACUGGUCUGAGAGGAUGAUCAGUCACACUGGAACUGAGACACGGUCCAGACUCCUACGGGAGGCAGCAGUGGGGAAUAUUGGACAAUGGGCGAAAGCCUGAUCCAGCCAUGCCGCGUGUGUGAAGAAGGUCUUCGGAUUGUAAAGCACUUUAAGUUGGGAGGAAGGGCAGUAAGUUAAUACCUUGCUGUUUUGACGUUACCAACAGAAUAAGCACCGGCUAACUUCGUG